RNAcentral lists this ribosomal RNA (253 nucleotides) under uncultured prokaryote. RNAcentral describes it as "partial 16S ribosomal RNA". It matches the Rfam family "Bacterial small subunit ribosomal RNA", at positions 524 to 776 of the family's 1533-position model. The record is from RNAcentral.
UACAGAGGGUGCAAGCGUUAAUCGGAAUUACUGGGCGUAAAGCGUGCGUAGACGGUUGCGUAAGUCAGAUGUGAAAGCCCCGGGCUCAACCUGGGAAUUGCAUUUGAGACUGCGUAGCUAGGGUGCGGAAGAGGGAAGCGGAAUUUCCGGUGUAGCGGUGAAAUGCGUAGAUAUCGGAAGGAACACCAGUGGCGAAAGCGACUUCCUGGUCGAAUACUGACGUUCAUGUGCGAAAGCGUGGGGAGCAAACAGG